CUUUAGUUUAUUCUCAAAUGUGCCUCAUGUGGAUCCCUAAAGCCAACACAGCCAGUAGUUAUAUUUAAUAUAUGUUGCAAAGGGUUGAAUCAAACUGCAUCACCUACUUUAUAACUAAUGUUUCCUCAUUGUGUUUCAUCUGUUAUUCAUCUGAAACUCAUCUGCAAUUUUAAAAUGAAAUGUAAAAUGUGUUCAUAUCUCCUCCAGAUGCUCCAAAGCUUCCCUCUGUGUCAGUGAGUCCUUCUGCUGAGAUAGUGGAGGGCAGUUCAGUGACUCUGACCGGUAGCAGUGAUGCUAACCCAGCAGCUACUUGUACCUGGUACAAGAGCAAUGGAGAUGGAGUGACUUGCAGCUCUACUGAGAUCUGUGCCUUAAAAGGAUCAACAGUAGACAUUAGCUGCAGCUACAGAUACCCAUCCUCUGUAAAGAGAGCUGAGAACAGAUUUUGGUUCAGGACAGUGCAGAAUGAGAAUUAUGUGGAUCUGAAAAAUGAAGCGAGGUAUUUAAGUUGUGUGCAGUAUAACUGUGGUAACAACGACUGCACUCUGAGAAUCACAGACCUGAGAGAGACUGAUGGACUGUUUGCGCAUGCGCAGUGUGUUCGACACUUUCUGUGCAGUUUAGUUGAGUUUAUCUUCCACCGAUCGUCAGCGCUCUUCUUUAUUCCUUUGUGCAACAGUGUGCGUCGGUGAUGAUGUAAGUUACGUGAUGAGUGGAUAUUGUUUAUAUUUCAUAUGUGAUGAGAGCUAAUAUUACCAGGUUACUAAACUCGGUUUGCUUGUUAGCUUACCAUUUAGCAUGUAUUACUGAACCCCAUGACACAUAGACGGCCCAACAUGUAACUCAGUUAAUUACCAUACAUUUCAUUUUCUUCUGUGACUGUUUAUUUAGCGGUGUAGCUGUCCUUCAUUGAGGCUGCUAUCAUAUUGAUGCUAGCGUGUCAAAUUGACCAGACCGGUAGCUGCAUGGGCUGUCUCAGCUUAGCUUGGUCACGUGACCGGCUUGUUGCGCCAAGCUGUAGUGUUGUUUAAUGAUCUUACACUGACCCCUAUUGGUGAUUUGCAGUAUGACACCUUAUUCAUGUCUAUUGUAAUGAAUGUUAUUUUAUUAAUGCCACUGUAUUGUAGGUUAAUUGUUAUUAAUAUAGUUUAUUGUUGUUGUCCUCUGCAGACAUCACAAACCACACACAUACAAAUACUACAGUGUCCUGAUCAUUUGGAUAGAAGAUAAUAAAGUCAUCUAAAGGGAAGAAGUUGUUGCGUCUUCUCUGACCGGAGGACUAGGCCAGUAUAUAUACAGCCAGCAUAUCAUCACCGAAGCUGUUCCGUAACACUGCAUGUAACCACUAACAAUAGUUGAAACGAACACCACCUGUCAUUGAGAAUGUGACAUGAGAAACAUGAACUAAGAAUGUUUGUUCCUCAACAGUGACUGUUACGCGAUCACUGGGUGUGACCUGUGAAGACGAUGCUAUAAAUGUUGCUGUUUAAUAUGAUUCUGUGGAGAUCUGCAGAGACAGCCUUACAACCUGUUACUUUGUAUGAUUGCUCCCCUUGCUGC
This is a long non-coding RNA of Sparus aurata (gilthead seabream), 1560 nucleotides long. The record is from Ensembl. NCBI's taxonomy places the organism in Eukaryota, Metazoa, Chordata, Actinopteri, Spariformes, Sparidae.